GCUGUUUGUGUUUAGGUGGCUGUAGGGAGGUCGCAGACUCCCCACCUCUCCUACUGGGCGUGUCAGUUAAAUGUUUGUUUGCCAGGAGCGGCUGGCUAAUCUGCCGUGGAGCCCGCCAGCUGUUUUGUCCUUCCGGGUGGCUUCGAAGUCCAGUGUUGGCACCCAUAAAUACGCCUGGACUGCCUCUGCUCCUUGGAAGUCCGCCGUCUGCAGAAGCUGAGCACGACGGUUGCGGCAUCGGUGUCCCUGGGUGGUGGGUCUCCCUCCCGUGUGAUGUGCUGCGCACCCCUUUUUGUUUGAGUGUGUUCACCUUUAUUUUCAGCGAGUGAGAGUGUCCACGUGUGUCUGGGGUGAUCCUUCCGAGGCCUUCAUUCCCUCUUCUACCCGUGUCCCACCGGUAAGCCUCAGCUCCUGUUUGGGCUCCCCCUC
Salarias fasciatus (jewelled blenny) is the source of this 429-nucleotide long non-coding RNA. RefSeq lists it as uncharacterized. The record is from RefSeq and is a predicted model, not a curated record. The transcript has 3 exons. NCBI's taxonomy places the organism in Eukaryota, Metazoa, Chordata, Actinopteri, Blenniiformes, Blenniidae.